This 422-nucleotide ribosomal RNA is filed under the name uncultured bacterium. RNAcentral's name for it is "bacterial SSU rRNA". It matches the Rfam family "Bacterial small subunit ribosomal RNA", at positions 83 to 518 of the family's 1533-position model. The record is from RNAcentral.
AAGUAAUUACGAGUGGCGGACGGUGGAGUAACGCGUGAGCAACCUGUCCCAGACAGGGGAGUAACACUUGGAACAGGUGCUAAUACCGCAUAAGACCACGGGGUCACAUGGCUCUGGGGUAAAAGGAGCAAUCCGGUUUGGGGUGGGCUCGCGUCCGAUUAGAUAGUUGGUGAGGUAACGGCCCACCAAGCCGACGAUCGGUAGCCGACCUGAGAGGGUGAUCGGCCACAUUGGAACUGAGAGACGGUCCAAACUCCUACGGGAGGCAGCAGUGGGGAAUAUUGGGCAAUGGGCGAAAGCCCUGACCCAGCAACGCCGCGUGAGUGAAGAAGGCCUUCGGGUUGUAAAGCUCUGUUAUAGGGGACGAAGGAAGUGACGGUACCCUAUAAGGAAGCCCCGGCUAACUACGUGCCAGCAGCAGC